This 440-nucleotide ribosomal RNA is filed under the name uncultured bacterium. RNAcentral's name for it is "partial 16S ribosomal RNA". It matches the Rfam family "Bacterial small subunit ribosomal RNA", at positions 338 to 795 of the family's 1533-position model. The record is from RNAcentral.
CCUACGGGGGGCAGCAGUAGGGAAUAUUGCACAAUGGGGGAAACCCUGAUGCAGCGACGCCGCGUGAGUGAUGAAGUACUUCGGUAUGUAAAGCUCUAUCAGCAGGGAAGAAAAUGACGGUACCUGACUAAGAAGCCCCGGCUAACUACGUGCCAGCAGCCGCGGUAAUACGUAGGGGGCAAGCGUUAUCCGGAUUUACUGGGUGUAAAGGGAGCGUAGACGGUGUGGCAAGUCUGAUGUGAAAGGCGGGGGCUCAACCGCGGGACGGCAUUGGAAACUGGACAGCUGGAGUGCAGGAGAGGCAAGUGGAAUUCCUAGUGUAGCGGUGAAAUGCGUAGAUAUUAGGAGGAACACCAGUGGCGAAGGCGGCUUGCUGGACUGUAACUGACGUUGAGGUUCGAAAGCGUGGGGAGCAAACAGGAUUAGAUACCCCAGUAGUC